Molecule: long non-coding RNA, 630 nt
Organism: Pogoniulus pusillus (Red-fronted tinkerbird)
Lineage: Eukaryota; Metazoa; Chordata; Aves; Piciformes; Lybiidae
Exons: 3
Source: RefSeq, a predicted model, not a curated record
CCUCACUGGCAGGCUCUACGGGGAGCUCUAAGACAGGCAGGAUCGAGUAGCUGAGGUUCCACUGAGACCAGGACUAAUCCAGCCCUGCAGACUUGAUCCAAAGGACAUUAAUGCCUGUGGCAAAGCUCCCACUAACUUCAGCACAUGCUGGAUCUGCUCUUUAGACCUGGCUGCUGCAAACAAGCUCAUGCUUACGUUUGCAAUGGCUGCUCAAGAAACAGAGCUGGGAAGAACUCAGAAGAGACCUGCUUCAUCUUUAAGGCUUUUAAAGAGCAGCUGAUCUCUGACAUGUAGCUGUUUCUGUAUGGUUGCUAAUAUGCUGCUCUGGUUUUCUCUAAAUCCCAGCUACAUCACAUUCAUAUGUUUCUUUGGGGAUUUAAAAACAAACACUGAACCUUUUCCAGGCUGAUAUUUCUACCUCCCCCACUACAGCGUGAACUUUGCUUGCAUCACUGCCAACAUUUGUUCAUUUAAAACUAGGAAAUCUUACCCUGCUGGGGGAGCAGGUAGGAUUUGAUAUAUUCUGCCCUGCAAGGGAUGUGUACAAACACUUAUGCCAGGCACAAGGGGACAUAAGAAGUUGAAGAACUUCUUCAAAAUAAGAUUAUUGAACACUGCAUGUAUCAAGAC